Schizosaccharomyces pombe (fission yeast) is the source of this 362-nucleotide non-coding RNA. The record is from the annotation of a GenBank genome assembly. NCBI's taxonomy places the organism in Eukaryota, Fungi, Ascomycota, Schizosaccharomycetes, Schizosaccharomycetales, Schizosaccharomycetaceae.
AAUAAAAGAAGCUGUAGAAGAUUUGCUGUACUUAAAGUUAUCCGGAUCAUGAAAUUUAAGGGAGAGAAAGCAGGCGUGGCUCUGUACAUAUGAUUGAUCUUGUUGGAGCUUUUCUGCUACCAAUAUUUUGAUUAUUGUUUACAAAUUUGUUGUCAUCUUUAACAAAUCCAAUUAACACUUGUGUCAGGUGUUGUUCUUGGUUUGAAUUUAAUACAAGCUAUAGCACUUCUUGUGACUGAUUUAAUGGAUGACAGUAGACAUGUUGCAUGCAACUACAGUUUUCAAUAGCUUUAGCUAAGAUGAAGUAAUACCCUGGCUAAAAACGUUCAACCAAACUCAAUGUUAAUUUAUUCAUCUACUAA